Molecule: non-coding RNA, 24 nt
Filed under: Cricetulus griseus (Chinese hamster)
Lineage: Eukaryota; Metazoa; Chordata; Mammalia; Rodentia; Cricetidae
Source: RNAcentral
UCAAGGUGACUUAGGGUGACAAGU